UGGGGAAUAUUGCGCAAUGGGCGAAAGCCUGACGCAGCGACGCCGCGUGAGGGAUGAAGGUUCUCGGAUCGUAAACCUCUGUCAGAAGGGAAGAAACCGCACUGUGCUAAUCAGCAGUGCCUUGACGGUACCUUCAAAGGAAGCACCGGCUAACUCCGUGCCAGCAGCCGCGGUAAUACGGAGGGUGCAAGCGUUAAUCGGAAUUACUGGGCGUAAAGCGCACGUAGGCUGCUUUGUAAGUCAGGGGUGAAAUCCCACGGCUCAACCGUGGAACUGCCUUUUAUACUGCUUAGCUUGAAUCCGGGAGAGGGUGGCGGAAUUCCAGGUGUAGGAGUGAAAUCCGUAGAUAUCUGGGGGAACAUCAGUGGCGAAGGCGGCCACCUGGACCGGUAUUGACGCUGAGGUGCGAAAGCGUGGGGAGCAAACAGG
This 429-nucleotide ribosomal RNA is filed under the name Fusobacteriota bacterium. Its description in RNAcentral is "Fusobacteria bacterium partial 16S ribosomal RNA". It matches the Rfam family "Bacterial small subunit ribosomal RNA", at positions 355 to 776 of the family's 1533-position model. The record is from RNAcentral. Lineage: Bacteria; Fusobacteriati; Fusobacteriota.